GAGUUUGAUCAUGGCUCAGAUUGAACGCUGGCGGUAGGCUUAACACAUGCAAGUCGUGCGGAAACGAUGGGAGCUUGCUCCCAGGCGUCGAGCGGCGGACGGGUGAGUAACGCGUAGGAAUCUACCCAGUAGUGGGGGAUAGCCCGGGGAAACUCGGAUUAAUACCGCAUACGCCCUACGGGGGAAAGGCCGGGAUCUUCGGACCGGUCGCUAUUGGAUGAGCCUGCGUUGGAUUAGCUAGUUGGUAGGGUAAAGGCCUACCAAGGCGACGAUCCAUAGCUGGUCUGAGAGGAUGAUCAGCCACACUGGAACUGAGACACGGUCCAGACUCCUACGGGAGGCAGCAGUGGGGAAUAUUGGACAAUGGGCGCAAGCCUGAUCCAGCCAUACCGCGUGUGUGAAGAAGGCCUUCGGGUUGUAAAGCACUUUAAGCAGGGAGAAAAAGUUAUAAGUUAAUACCUUAUAACCCUGAUGUUACCUGCAGAAUAAGCACCGGCUAAUUCCGUGCCAGCAGCCGCGGUAAUACGGAAGGUGCAAGCGUUAAUCGGAAUUACUGGGCGUAAAGCGCGCGUAGGUGGUUUGUUAAGUUGGAUGUGAAAGCCCUGGGCUCAACCUAGGAACUGCAUCCAAAACUAACUCACUAGAGUACGAUAGAGGGAGGUAGAAUUCAUAGUGUAGCGGUGGAAUGCGUAGAUAUAUGAAGAAUACCAGUGGCGAAGGCGGCCUCCUGGAUCUGUACUGACACUGAGGUGCGAAAGCGUGGGUAGCGAACAGGAUUAGAUACCCUGGUAGUCCACGCCGUAAACGAUGACAACUAGCUGUUGGGAGACUAUGUCUUUCAGUGGCGCAGCUAACGCUUUAAGUUGUCCGCCUGGGGAGUACGGCCGCAAGGCUAAAACUCAAAUGAAUUGACGGGGACCCGCACAAGCGGUGGAGCAUGUGGUUUAAUUCGAUGCAACGCGAAAAACCUUACCAGGCCUUGACAUCCAGAGAACUUACCAGAGAUGGUUUGGUGCCUUCGGGAACUCUGAGACAGGUGUUGCAUGGCUGUCGUCAGCUCGUGUCGUGAGAUGUUGGGUUAAGUCCCGUAACGAGCGCAACCCUUAUCCUUAUUUGCCAGCACGUAAUGGUGGGAACUCUAAGGAGACUGCCGGUGACAAACCGGAGGAAGGAGAGGAUGAUGUCAAGUCAUCAUGGCCCUUACGGCCUGGGCUACACACGUGCUACAAUGGGAAGUACAAAGGGCCGCAAUACUGCAAAGUGGAGCAAAUCCCAGAAAACUUCUCGUAGUCCGGAUUGGAGUCUGCAACUCGACUCCAUGAAGUCGGAAUCGCUAGUAAUCGCGAAUCAGCAUGUCGCGGUGAAUACGUUCCCGGGCCUUGUACACACCGCCCGUCACAUCAUGGGAGUGGGCUGCAAAAGAAGUGGCUAGUCUAACCUUCGGGAGGACGGUCACCACUUUGUGGUUCAUGACUGGGGUGAAGUCGUAACAAGGUAACC
RNAcentral lists this ribosomal RNA (1500 nucleotides) under uncultured marine bacterium. Its description in RNAcentral is "bacterial SSU rRNA". It matches the Rfam family "Bacterial small subunit ribosomal RNA". The record is from RNAcentral.